Non-coding RNA from Schizosaccharomyces pombe (fission yeast), 860 nucleotides. Lineage: Eukaryota; Fungi; Ascomycota; Schizosaccharomycetes; Schizosaccharomycetales; Schizosaccharomycetaceae. The record is from the annotation of a GenBank genome assembly.
CUUAAUAUAGGAUGCCAUUCUUUUUGUAGAGGAUAGAGACAUUAAAGGAAUGUGUGCAGGAUACGAACGGGCAGGCCUUCUAAAAUCGACGAAAAGCUCACCAAAUUCACUAGUCGGGUAGUCAAUACGCACUCUACAUCCAUUCUCUAUUUUUGAGACCUUAUUAUCCAAAAUAGAUUGCAAAGCACUAACAUCAUCAUCCCAUUCGGUACUAUUUGGUUCCAAAGAUAUAUUCCCAUCAAAGCUUUCACCAAUUAGAUGCUGCUGUAAGUACUCUGAACUAAUUUGAAUGUUAUUUUCAAAAGUUUGAAGAGUAGAAAAACAUAAGUCAAAGCUAUAGCCCGUCUCCGAAAUCCCUGUUAAUAGUUAGUGUUGAACAAAUGUCAUACGCACAUACGUUUAGCGUUGUAGUGAAUGGCCAGAUUCGCUGAAUUUAGAUUCUGAACAGAUAUUCCUGUUGUAUAAUCAGAAGGAAGAAAUCUUGUAGGAAGAUCGUCUUCUGGAACAUGAAUGAUUAGCCACUCUAAAGCAUCUUCAAGGGAAACACAGUACUGACAAGCUUCUUUAGCAUGAAUGUCUCGAAAACCUAAAGAAAUUAAAUCAUUAACAAUAGAAGUAUCGGGCUCUAAAUUUUUUGUAUCCUCUAGUAUAUCCCACGUGUUCAUAUUGCGAAAAAGGUUCUCUAGAGAGCGACGAUUUUCAAGACUCAUGUGAAUAGGAAGAGCAUAUUUGAAAUUGAACUUUGAGAAGUGUGAAAGGCUUGUGUUUUUGAUAGAUGUCAAAGAGACCUUUUCAUUUUUCUGAGAUGCUUUUGGCGGUGGUUUGGCAGCUGAAGAAGCGCGUGCUGCCUGUAGUUCUUU